This 767-nucleotide ribosomal RNA is filed under the name uncultured Candidatus Saccharibacteria bacterium. RNAcentral describes it as "bacterial SSU rRNA". It matches the Rfam family "Bacterial small subunit ribosomal RNA", at positions 35 to 829 of the family's 1533-position model. The record is from RNAcentral. Lineage: Bacteria; Candidatus Saccharimonadota.
GCUGGCGGAGUGCCUAACACAUGCAAGUCGAGCGGCAGCGGGAAUAGUUUACUACUUGCCGGCGAGCGGCGGACGGCUGAGUAACGCGUGGGAACGUGCCCCAAAGUGAGGAAUAACUGCCCGAAAGGGUAGCUAAUGCCGCAUAUGAUCUUCGGAUUAAAGUAUUUAUUACGCUUUGGGAGCGGCCCGCGUCCGAUUAGGUAGUUGGUGAGGUAAAGGCUCACCAAGCCCACGAUCGGUAGCUGGUCUGAGAGGAUGACCAGCCAGACUGGAACUGAGACACGGUCCAGACUCCUACGGGAGGCAGCAGUGAGGAAUCUUCCACAAUGGACGAAAGUCUGAUGGAGCAACUCCGCGUGCAGGAUGAAGGCCUUAGGGUUGUAAACUGCUUUUAUGAGUGAAGAAUAUGACGGUAACUCAUGAAUAAGGGUCGGCUAACUACGUGCCAGCAGCCGCGGUCAUACGUAGGACCCAAGCGUUAUCCGGAGUGACUGGGCGUAAAGAGUUGCGUAGGUGGUUAUAUAAGUGAAUAGUGAAAUCUGGCGGCUCAACCGUACAGGCUAUUAUUCAAACUGUAUAACUCGAGAAUGGUAGAGGUAACUGGAAUUUCUUGUGUAGGAGUGAAAUCCGUAGAUAUAAGAAGGAACACCAAUGGCGUAGGCAGGUUACUGGACCAUUUCUGACACUGAGGCACGAAAGCGUGGGGAGCGAACCGGAUUAAUACCCGGGUAGUCACGCCGUAAACAAUGGAUACUACCUGUUGGAGG